UACGGAAGGCAGCAGUGGGGAAUAUUGCACAAUGGGCGCAAGCCUGAUGCAGCCAUGCCGCGUGUAUGAAAAAGGCCUUCGGGUUGUAAAGUACUUUCAGUCGUGAGGAAGGUGUUAAGGUUAAUAACCUUAGCAAUUGACGUUAGCGACAGAAGAAGCACCGGCUAACUCCGUGCCAGCAGCCGCGGUAAUACGGAGGGUGCGAGCGUUAAUCGGAAUUACUGGGCGUAAAGGGCACGCAGGCGGUUAAUUAAGUUGGAUGUGAAAUCCCCGGGCUUAACCUGGGAAUGGCAUUCAAGACUGGUUAGCUAGAGUCUUGUAGAGGGGGUAGAAUUCCAUGUGUAGCGGUGAAAUGCGUAGAGAUGUGGAGGAAUACCGGUGGCGAAGGCGGCCCCUUGGACAAAGACUGACGCUCAUGUGCGAAAGCGUGGGGAGCAAAC
This 440-nucleotide ribosomal RNA is filed under the name uncultured bacterium. RNAcentral's name for it is "bacterial SSU rRNA". It matches the Rfam family "Bacterial small subunit ribosomal RNA", at positions 340 to 773 of the family's 1533-position model. The record is from RNAcentral.